This 467-nucleotide long non-coding RNA is filed under the name Ananas comosus (pineapple). Its description in RNAcentral is "long non-coding RNA (ACOM_LNC023762)". The record is from RNAcentral. Lineage: Eukaryota; Viridiplantae; Streptophyta; Magnoliopsida; Poales; Bromeliaceae.
UCGUUUUAAAUUAUAGGAAUCUCGAAUUGAUGAUCGGAACAGUUAAAGUUGAUUUAGCAUAUUUAUAACGUUUAGGAACUAAAUUUCAUACAUUUUAAAAUUCGUUAUCAAGUUUAUUAAAGAGUCAAAAAAUGAAUGGUAAAAAAUGAAAAACUUUGUGAAAGUAGAUGUUAAACUUUUGAAAGUAGAUGUUAAACUUUUUUCAAGUAAUAAUCAGAGUUAUCAAACAUUUUCUUAGAUAAUAAAAAAAAUUUUCUAUCCAAAAUUCAAGCCGUUUGGAUUGUUUUAUGCCAUUAAACAAGCAAACAGCUCAUAUUGGUCAUAAAAAAAUAUUGAUUUUGUAAUAUUUUGACCACUAUGUAAAUAAUUUUUAAAAUUCAUGAAAUAACUAGACACUUUAAAUAUUCUAGAUCAACUUUAACUACUCUGAUCAUCGAAUCAAAAUUUCCAUCAUCCAAAACAAUUUA